Oryctolagus cuniculus (rabbit) is the source of this 1942-nucleotide long non-coding RNA. Lineage: Eukaryota; Metazoa; Chordata; Mammalia; Lagomorpha; Leporidae. The record is from Ensembl.
AUGGACCUUAAGGAGCUGCAGCCUUUCUCCUCAAAGCGUGGGCCCUGGCAGCAGGAGCUUGUUAACCACGCAGCGCCCGAGGACCCCCUCAACCUGUGUGUGAGCGCAGUUCUUAGAUGCUGGCAGAAUACAGACUUCCAGUGCAGUGGGCAGCGUUUGCCGCCCAAAUUCCGCAGGGUGAUGCCCUGUGCCCAGAGGGAUUGCUGCACACAGGAGAGGAGCACUGCGCUGGGGAGUGCGCCACGUCGUAGAACCAGCAAGCUAGCCCGCUCUUCAGCCCAGAGCGGGUGGCACCUCAUCCUUCUAGGCUGCUCGUGGCGAGCACAACCUGGAGACGUGGGCCAAGUGAACUGCAGUGGGCUUUGCGUUCUUGGCACACCCAGCAAGAUGAGAAGCACUUGGCAGUUGUCAGUCCCUGCACACCUCCGUGGGCCUUUGUGCAGGGGUCCUGGGCUCUACGCUGGGGACUCUGCUCCCAGGGCUCUGUUCACCCCUCUCCCAGGGCUCCCACUCUGGAUGCAGCCUCUUUUGCCAGGCCCAGUCCCCACCCAGUAACUUCUGCUUGUCCAUCCGUGUGAGCUGUGCCUUGUGUGCAAGUUCAUCAUCGCCCCGGCUUCCAAAGGGGUGAAUACUGGAGAGUUCCUGGGCUUUAUGUACAGUGCACAGAUGUCCAUACAAUACAGAAACAGAUGGACAGCGUCUCCCUACAGGCUUAAACUUUCAUGAUGGGUGAGUGGGAACACAACGUCUCCAAAUACCUCUUGUGGAGGAGAUAAUAAUGAAAAGAAGGUUGGGAAAGUCUCAUCUAAGGUGUUACACAGGCCACUGUGCUGCGUCUCGUGUUCAGAGUCUGGGGUUAGGGAGUCACAGGACAAGAGCGAUCUUUGCAGAAAAAAGAACUGGUGGUUGGCUGUGAGGGAUAAGAGGGGAGGAACUGCUGCAUGAACAGUGCUUCUCGGAGCCAGGCACCGUGCUGGGCCCGGUGUCUGCAGUGCCUCCUUGCGGUCAUAUUUUCAUUUUCAGAUGGUGAAAUGAGGAGGAAAAAGCCACAAGCCUUGCACUGCAUAGCUGGAAAAGGGUCAAAUUGGGAUUUUUUUUUUUAAGAUUUAUUUAUGUAUUUGAAAGGCAGAAUUACACACACACACAGAGAGAGAGAGGGUAGGAGAGACAGAGAAAGAGUUCAUCCAUCUGCUGAUUCACUCCCCAAAUGGCUGCAGCAGCCAGGGCUGGGCCAAGCCAAAGCCAGAGCCAGGAGCUGCUUCCCAUGUGUUGCAGGAUCCCGAGCAUUUGGGCCAUCUGCUGCUUUCUCAGGCCAUUAGCAGGGAGCUGAAUUGGAAGUGGGGCAGUCAGGACUCGAACCAGUGCCCAUAUGGGCUUCGAGCCUACUCACUCUAAAGCAGAAUAUCCGUAUUCCUGCAGGAACCACCUGCCAGACAGGCGUGUUCUGAGUGAAUCACGGUGACCUCCCUGCCUACGUCUGAUGCCUGUAUGUGGCUGUCGAAGACACGUAUCUGGCUGUUUACCGUCCCCUGGACAUAGCUGGUAGAGUGACAGUUCUCCAAUGACAGCUUGGCCGGGAGGGAGGGUGCGGUGUCCAGGCAGCAGUGCUGAGUCAUGGAGCUCGGUCAGUGUGCCUGUUUUGAUGGAACCCACAGGGACUCUUCAGCUUAGAAAGAGCCAUCGAGUGCCCAGCUGUGUCUAGUUUCUGACACCCUGCCUCCUCAGUAGAACUCACAUUAUUUCAGUGCCUUCAGCAGUUCGCUUCUGGCAAGUUAGGAAUAGCCCUGAAAGUGAAUUUGGUGUGCCUUUCAAUAUGGUUGAGUGGCUUACAUAGAAAAGUCCCCUUUCCCAAAGUGUCUUAGACCAGUGAUGAAGAUGUUGUGAAGCUGCAAUGUCAAGUUCACUUGUGUAAUAAACAGGAUAAAAGAUCUAGUUCCUGGCA